GGUGGUUCUCAGGUGACAUGCCCCUGAAUCGGGCUCCCUCCUCUCUGGUUCUGGGUGCAUCACCCAAGAACAGCA
Non-coding RNA from Myotis davidii, 75 nucleotides. The record is from Rfam. NCBI's taxonomy places the organism in Eukaryota, Metazoa, Chordata, Mammalia, Chiroptera, Vespertilionidae.